RNAcentral lists this ribosomal RNA (253 nucleotides) under uncultured bacterium. Its description in RNAcentral is "partial 16S ribosomal RNA". It matches the Rfam family "Bacterial small subunit ribosomal RNA", at positions 524 to 776 of the family's 1533-position model. The record is from RNAcentral.
UACGAAGGGGGCUAGCGUUGCUCGGAAUCACUGGGCGUAAAGCGCACGUAGGCGGCUUUUUAAGUCAGGGGUGAAAUCCUGGAGCUCAACUCCAGAACUGCCUUUGAUACUGGGAAGCUUGAGUCCGGGAGAGGUGAGUGGAACUCCGAGUGUAGAGGUGAAAUUCGUAGAUAUUCGGAAGAACACCAGUGGCGAAGGCGGCUCACUGGCCCGGUACUGACGCUGAGGCACGAAAGCGUGGGGAGCAAACAGG